This 274-nucleotide ribosomal RNA is filed under the name uncultured bacterium. RNAcentral describes it as "partial 16S ribosomal RNA". It matches the Rfam family "Bacterial small subunit ribosomal RNA", at positions 523 to 796 of the family's 1533-position model. The record is from RNAcentral.
AUACGGAGGGUCCAAGCGUUAUCCGGAAUCAUUGGGUUUAAAGGGUCCGUAGGCGGACAAUUAAGUCAGAGGUGAAAGCCCACAGCUCAACUGUGGAACUGCCUUUGAUACUGGUUGUCUUGAAUUAUAGUGAAGUAGAUAGAAUAUGUAGUGUAGCGGUGAAAUGCAUAGAUAUUACAUAGAAUACCGAUUGCGAAGGCAGUCUACUAGCUAUAUAUUGACGCUGAUGGACGAAAGCGUGGGGAGCGAACAGGAUUAGAAACCCCAGUAGUCC